AUGAAACUGCUUAGUUGGAACUGCCGGGGUUUGGGACAGCCCCGCGUUCAAGAGUUGGUGCGCUUGGUAAGCACGCACCGUCCGUCUAUUGUUUUCCUUUCAGAAACCAGACAAAAUAAAAAGAGGGUCAGCAACCUCAGAUGGAGGUUAGGUUUUAAGAAUUUCCUGCUGCAUGACGGCAAGGGAAAAGGGGCUGGAAUAGCUCUGUAUUGGGAUGAA
Molecule: ribosomal RNA, 219 nt
Filed under: Triticum aestivum (bread wheat)
Lineage: Eukaryota; Viridiplantae; Streptophyta; Magnoliopsida; Poales; Poaceae
Description: partial small subunit ribosomal RNA
Source: RNAcentral